Molecule: long non-coding RNA, 2239 nt
Organism: Megalobrama amblycephala (Wuchang bream)
Lineage: Eukaryota; Metazoa; Chordata; Actinopteri; Cypriniformes; Xenocyprididae
Exons: 3
Source: RefSeq, a predicted model, not a curated record
UAGCACUAAUGUAUCAUAACUGAGGCAAAGUAUUAUGUAAUUAAUGAAAUUUCUGUUUAUUUCUAUAUUUCGGAGAAUGAGAAUGAUGGGAAACGCAGUUUGGUGGCGCAUGGUCUACUUAUAAAACAGCUAAAUGACUAGUGCUUUGUGGCAAACUUUUUUUAAAAUAUUAAUUUAUCCUUUAUCAACAGUAUUCUGAACAAAUGCAUACAAACUAAACUGUACCGUCAUACGAAUGUAAUUGAAAAUGUUUUCGCCAUGAUGCCCAAUAGUAUGAUUCGGCAAUUGACACGCCCGCUUCCCGCCAAUCAUCAUUCACAUAAUUGCACGAGGCAGCCGCGAGAGAAAAUGACACGCAAGCAGUGACGUUAGUGACUUUGUAUUCAUAUAACUUCAUAACCGGUUUAAUUUGAUAUAAAUAGUGUAUAUUACAGCGAAUGACUUCGUGAAGAGUAGUUUGACAGAGAGAAAGUCUAGUUUUGGUCAUGUUUUAUGGCAAACCCAUCCAUUUUGAGAAGAGGAGUUAUUCAGUUCACGGAUGUUUUAUUGAUGUCGAGCCACCCAACUAAGCCUGAAGAUACUUCACAUAGGGAAAAGAAGAUUCAUCGCUCUGGAAAAACAGACCUGGAUCUCAGGACCUGUGGUGAGGUACCAUUAAACAAGAGUGGAAGAAGGGGGUUGAAAUACUAUGUCACAGGCCAGAUUUAAACCUUUAUCUCCUACAUGAACACCACUUCUCAACACAUCAAGACAACAUGUUAAAUGCUACACUAUGGCUUUAAUACAUUUUUUUAGCACAGAUUUCAGCCUUAUUAUCAUGAGAUCAUGAGAGCAAGAAAAUGUGAUGAUGUCAAAAUUUACAGCUGAGUUUUGUGGUUUGUUGCUUUGUGGUUGCUAAGAUGUAAUGUUGCUGUAUGGUUACUUAGUGGGUUUUAACAUUGUUAUGAGCUAGCUAAGGUGUUUGGGCUGGCUGAUGAAAGAAAAAAGGAAGCAUGUCUGUAAAUAUUGUCGUGUUAUGUGCAAGCUUGUGUAUGUAUGCAAUCACAAAUAUCUUGUAUAGAGAUACAAAACAAAGGACUCCAGUAAAGAAUGUACCUUGACCUCAAAAUUUGGGACUUUGGAACUGUUUUUAAAGGGUUAGUUCAAAAAUGAAACAAGCACACAACUGAAAAUAUUUUAAAAGAAAUCUGAGAGAUAUCUGUCCCUCAAUUCACAGUCCAUGCAACUAUCACUUUGACCCUUCUAAAAGUUCAUAAAGAGAUCGUAAAACUAAUCCAUAUGAAUUGAGUGGUUUAGUCCAAAUUUCCUGAAGAGAUCAAUCCCCUUAUAUGAUAAAUAGACUGAAUUUAGGCUUUUAUUCACAGAUAAACAUUGAUCAGUGAGCCAAGAUCCUAUAUUUUUAUAUUAUGCCUUCUGCUGAAAGCUACAAUCCUUCAUGUCAGAUGCUCACAAACUAAAAGAGAACUGCCUAAUUACUGUAUAACUUUGCUGAACAUCAUCUCUCCUUUUCAGAAUAUUGGCUGAUAUUUUAAAGCACCAUUUACAAGCAAAAAAAGCGCAAAGACAUUUUAAUUAGCUCAGCAGUGGGUUUCUAUUAAACUGUCAUAUUUUUUCCAUCUAAAGGAAGUGAUUCUUAGCCCCAGAGGGUAGUAUGCAGGUCUCAGAGAAGAUCCAUUGAAAAAAUUUGAUUUUGCUUUGUUAAUAACAAUAAUAGAUUAAAUGUAAAAAUCUUAAUCUUUGACAAAGCUUUUUUAAGUCAAUAAAACAAAAUACAUUGUAUAAAUUUGCAUGGAUGACAGUUGUAACAAAAUAUAUGUGGAAUGUUUUAUAUAAAAUAAAAUUUAAGCAACUUUAUUGUUAAUGCUAAUCAAUAUUAAGUAUAAUUUGAGUUUGUGGAAACACAUUUCUAGUUUGUGUAGAUGUAAUGGUUUGAGCCCUACUGAUCAGGCCGUGAGGAUGCAAAACAGUUGUGAAAUACUGAUCUAGCUUUGUGAAAAUAAAACUGGGGAAAAUGUAUAAAACCACAUGUUAGUUCUGUGUGGAUUGGCUACUUUUGUGUUUACUUUUAAAUUAAGAAUUGCACCUUUUAGGGCCUUUUGUUGUAAUUUAAAAUUUUUCCAGACUUACUGGAUACAAAAGGGAUUCUUUCCAUUCUGUGAGAAUUAGCUCAGAAAGGUGGUCUUGAGUGUAUGGGUCUUGGAAGGAGGGGGUGGGGGUGGGGUGUUUGUGGCUUUAGGCA